Erinaceus europaeus (western European hedgehog) is the source of this 179-nucleotide non-coding RNA. NCBI's taxonomy places the organism in Eukaryota, Metazoa, Chordata, Mammalia, Eulipotyphla, Erinaceidae. The record is from Rfam.
GGGGAGAGAUGUGUGGAGGCUGCUCUGCUGGGGCCACCCAGCGUGGGCGGGAAGGGCAGGAAUGCGGCUGAAACUGAGGCGGGCGCGGCUGUGGGGACAGCAGCCAGCGGUGGGUUUUCCGCGGGGCCCAGAGAGGCCCCUUCGCUCGGCCCCUGCACGCACACUGGGACCUUUCUUCA